This is a regulatory RNA element of Cetobacterium somerae ATCC BAA-474, 89 nucleotides long. It matches the Rfam family "TPP riboswitch aptamer (THI element)". From Rfam's summary of the family: Vitamin B(1) in its active form thiamin pyrophosphate (TPP) is an essential coenzyme that is synthesised by coupling of pyrimidine and thiazole moieties in bacteria. NCBI's taxonomy places the organism in Bacteria, Fusobacteriati, Fusobacteriota, Fusobacteriia, Fusobacteriales, Fusobacteriaceae. The record is from Rfam.
UUAAACUACUAGGGGUGCCCUUUGGCUGAGACUUACUCUUAGAACCUGAUCUAGUUAAUACUAGCGUAGGGAAGUAGUUAAUUAUCACU